AGCCGUGGUCUUGACUCUUGAGUGGUCAACAACGGGCGUCGCUUGGCAUUCGCGUCGCCGCAGCCCCAUCGUCGGGGAGGAGCAAUACCGCCGAAGCGGGAUCGAGCGAGGAAGGGAGAUCGGCGGAUAGACGCGGCCAUCGACCACUUCGCCGCCAAGGGGUACACGGCGCGCCAAGUCCGCGCCGCCGUCACUGCGCUCCUCAUGGUGAUCGACGAGGAGAAGAAGCUGCUGCCGCUGGAGCAGGAGGCCCAGGAGGAGCAGGAACAGCCUCAGAGUGGCUGAUAGCAAGGCUGUUGUGAUGAUGCAAAGGCGCAGGAGCUUUAUAACUGGGUUAAGGUCGCUUGUAAAAUUAACUUUUAUAAGUUUUUGUACAUAGUGGGUAAGUACUGAGGUAGAGCAGAAAACUUAAAAACCUGAUGACUUUUGGGUCUCUUGCUUUAAGAAUGCAAGGGGACCAUGUGAUGCUACCUUGAACAAGUGUUUAACUUUGGAUACUGAUGUUCUGUUAAACUUGGUGUUGGUACGUUGGAAUGUUAAAUAAUUUCUUAAAAUUUAUAAAGUGGUUACAGGAUAUUAUGUUGA
Molecule: long non-coding RNA, 585 nt
Organism: Panicum virgatum (switchgrass)
Lineage: Eukaryota; Viridiplantae; Streptophyta; Magnoliopsida; Poales; Poaceae
Exons: 2
Source: RefSeq, a predicted model, not a curated record